This 215-nucleotide ribosomal RNA is filed under the name uncultured bacterium. Its description in RNAcentral is "partial 16S ribosomal RNA". It matches the Rfam family "Bacterial small subunit ribosomal RNA", at positions 335 to 544 of the family's 1533-position model. The record is from RNAcentral.
ACUCCUACGGGAGGCAGCAGUAAGGAAUAUUGGACAAUGGGCGCAAAGCCUGAUCCAGCCAUCCCGCGUGCAGGAAGACCAGCCCUAUGGGUUUUAAACUGCAUUUAGAAGGGAAGAAACGCCUGACAUUUAUGUGGGUUUGACGGUACCUUCAGAAUAAGCACCGGCUAACUCCGUGCCAGCAGCCGCGGUAAUACGGAGGGUGCGAGCGUUAU